This 348-nucleotide unclassified non-coding RNA is filed under the name soil metagenome. RNAcentral's name for it is "partial contains 5.8S ribosomal RNA, internal transcribed spacer 2, and large subunit ribosomal RNA". The stretch from base 1 to 120 matches the Rfam family "5.8S ribosomal RNA", at positions 35 to 154 of the family's 154-position model. The record is from RNAcentral.
GAUGAAGAACGUAGCGAAACGCGAUAGUUAAUGUGAAUUGCAGAAUUCAGUGAAUCAUCGAAUCUUUGAACGCACAUUGCGCCCGCCAGUAUUCUGGCGGGCAUGCCUGUCUGAGCGUCAUUUCAACCCUCAUGCCCCUAGGGCGUGGUGUUGGGGAUCGGCCAAAGCCCGCGAGGGACGGCCGGCCCCUAAAUCUAGUGGCGGACCCGUCGUGGCCUCCUCUGCGAAGUAGUGAUAUUCCGCAUCGGAGAGCGACGAGCCCCUGCCGUUAAACCCCCAACUUUCCAAGGUUGACCUCAGAUCAGGUAGGAAUACCCGCUGAACUUAAGCAUAUCAAUAAGCGGAGGA